Molecule: transfer RNA, 73 nt
Filed under: Ixodes scapularis (black-legged tick)
Lineage: Eukaryota; Metazoa; Arthropoda; Arachnida; Ixodida; Ixodidae
Description: tRNA-Ile
Source: RNAcentral
UCCUGGUUAGCUCAAUCGGUAGAGCGCUCAGCUAAUCUUGGAGAGAUCCCGGGGUCGAAUGCCGGACUAGGCA